AUAUCAAUAAGCGGAGGAAAAGAAACCAACAGGGAUUGCCCCAGUAACGGCGAGUGAAGCGGCAAGAGCUCAAAUUUGAAAUCUGGCCUCCUCCGGGGGUCCGAGUUGUAAUUUGCAGAGGAUGCUUCGGGUGCGGCCCCCGUCUAAGUUCCUUGGAACAGGACGUCAGAGAGGGUGAGAAUCCCGUCUUGGGCGGGCGGCCCGCGCCCGUGUGAAGCUCCUUCGACGAGUCGAGUUGUUUGGGAAUGCAGCUCUAAGCGGGUGGUAAAUUUCAUCUAAAGCUAAAUACUGGCCGGAGACCGAUAGCGCACAAGUAGAGUGAUCGAAAGGUUAAAAGCACCUUGAAAAGGGAGUUAAACAGCACGUGAAAUUGUUGAAAGGGAAGCGCUUGCGGCCAGACUCGGGGGCGGGGUUCAGCGGGCGCUCGUCGCCCGUGCACUCCCCGCGCCUCGGGCCAGCAUCAGUUUCGACGGCCGGUCAAAGGCCCCCGGAAUGUGUCGUCUCUAGGGACGUCUUAUAGCCGGGGGUGCAAUGCGGCCCGUCGGGACUGAGGAACGCGCUCCGGCUCGGAUGCUGGCGUAAUGGCCGUAAGCGGC
RNAcentral lists this ribosomal RNA (596 nucleotides) under Trichophyton cf. erinacei ATCC 24552. RNAcentral describes it as "eukaryotic LSU rRNA". It matches the Rfam family "Eukaryotic large subunit ribosomal RNA", at positions 40 to 648 of the family's 3401-position model. The record is from RNAcentral. Lineage: Eukaryota; Fungi; Ascomycota; Eurotiomycetes; Onygenales; Arthrodermataceae.